Molecule: unclassified non-coding RNA, 350 nt
Filed under: plant metagenome
Description: partial contains 5.8S ribosomal RNA, internal transcribed spacer 2, and large subunit ribosomal RNA
Rfam family: 5.8S ribosomal RNA (bases 1-105)
Source: RNAcentral
GAAAUGCGAUAAGUAAUGUGAAUUGCAGAAUUCAGUGAAUCAUCGAAUCUUUGAACGCACCUUGCGCUCCUUGGUAUUCCGAGGAGCAUGCCUGUUUGAGUGUCAUGGAAUUCUCAACUCUAUUUGCUUUUGUGAAUAGAGCUUGGAUUUGGAGGUUUAUUGCUGGUACUUGUGAUCGGCUCCUCUUGAAUGCAUUAGCUCGAAGCUUUGCGGAUCAGCUAUCGGUGUGAUAAUUGUCUACGCCGUUGCAGUGAAGCAUAUCAAUGGGCUCGGCUUCCAAUCGUCCUUUACUGGACAAUGACUUUGACCUUUGACCUCAAAUCAGGUAGGAUUACCCGCUGAACUUAAGC